UACGUAGGGUGCGAGCGUUGUCCGGAAUUAUUGGGCGUAAAGGGCUCGUAGGCGGUUUGUCGCGUCGGGAGUGAAAACCAGGUGCUUAACACCUGGCUUGCUUUCGAUACGGGCAGACUAGAGGUAUGCAGGGAAGAACGGAAUUCCUGGUGUAGCGGUGAAAUGCGCAGAUAUCAGGAGGAACACCGGUGGCGAAGGCGGUUCUCUGGGCAUGACCUGACGCUGAGGAGCGAAAGUGUGGGGAGCGAACAGG
RNAcentral lists this ribosomal RNA (253 nucleotides) under uncultured bacterium. RNAcentral describes it as "partial 16S ribosomal RNA". It matches the Rfam family "Bacterial small subunit ribosomal RNA", at positions 524 to 776 of the family's 1533-position model. The record is from RNAcentral.